Molecule: long non-coding RNA, 1887 nt
Filed under: Anas platyrhynchos platyrhynchos (common mallard)
Lineage: Eukaryota; Metazoa; Chordata; Aves; Anseriformes; Anatidae
Description: lncRNA (ENSAPLG00000025808.1)
Source: RNAcentral
AAACAGGCUUGCUAAGCCAGACCAAGUCAUAAACAGAUUAGAGUGCUGCGGAGGUCAGGUUUCAGCUGGCAUUCGCGAAAAUAGGGGGGUUCUGGCAUUGUCAGAGGGUGAUUCAUUGCACUGGAAUAUUUCAGGGGAGGAGAGCCGUACAGGAGCUGCGAACACCAUGCUGCAAGGAGAGGGGCUCAUUGUGUGCCGGGUUUCUGCCUCCAAGUUCGCUCUCCCAGAUUUAUGCUGAUACCACGUAUAUCAGGAGCAGUUAUCUGUUUCUGUUUAACUCGGAUGAAAGCCCAUGUGUGGUUAUUGCAUUCUAAGUUUGCUAGAACUUGUUAAUAAUUUAGAAUAAUAAAGUCAGUCAAAUUAAUUCACUUCUAAAAUUGAGCUUAUUUGCAUUGGCUUGUCUUUUUUGUAACAGAUCUCUCUGCGGGCAUAUGUUUGUAUAAGCUUUUGUAUGUGCUUGUGAGUGUUUGUGUGCAUACGUAAUUUCCUUCACCAUCUUACAACCCAAAGAGGCUGAGUUGGAUUUAAACAUUGUACAAGAAAAAUAGUUUUUCCCUGCCUGUGAAUAUAUUCUAUGAAGGUUCACCCCAAAGUGAAGCCAAAUAGCUAAGAAAUAAAUCCGCAGGAAAAAAAAAAAAAUGGGAUUUGUAAUGGAAAUGCUCCCUUGUCUUAAAUUAUAGCUAGGCAUAUGUGAAGCUGAAAUGCAUGCUGCAGCAUCCAGACGGUGCCUCAAGCUGGCCGUGCAUUCCCAGAAAUCAAGAAAAAUACCCCAGCCUACCUGCAAAAUGACCUUUCUCCUAGCACCGACUUGCAGCUCAGAAGCUUUUGUGCUGGAAGAGGCAGGUGUUCGUGGUCUGACCCAGCAGGGAUCCAGUGGAACAAAAUAAUGCCUGAUAGUCAGCAGGGUCGGCGUGUACGUACAGAGGGGUUCGUAGCUGUUGAGGGAUAGGGGUGUGCGGGUCAUACAGCCAAGUGUCAUCAUACUUCUGUAUACAAAAGUAAAAUUAUACUUUCAUACACAAUGGUUAUGCAGAGAGAUGCGUUGAUGAAGAUGAGCUGAACUAUGAGCCCCUCCCCUGGAGCAAAACCAUGGCAAAUGGUUGUGUAAUGCAAUUUCAGAGCUUCCAUUGCUGUACUUCCAAACUCAAUCUCAACCUGUGCUAUUUGUGUAACUGCGAAGAGGUUACGUUACAGGCAAUAUCUAAAAUAUUGUUAUGAUUUCUUCUGCAAGGACAGAAUGCACAGCCCCUCACUUUUCUUCUUCAUAUAGGGUUAUUGCCUUCAGAUGGUAAGAAAUUUAAGAAGGUUUCAGUUGCUGUUGAAUUAACAUUUCUAUACGCAUCAUUUAACUAGAUAAUUUGCUGACUCUAAAAUUUCUGUGUAAUCAAAUUGAUUGGCUGUUUUAACAUUCCUAAGUGCUAGUUGAAAUGAUGCGGAGAAUGGGCCCCUUUCUUUAGAUUCAGGGCAGCAGCAGGGUGAGGUUAUCUCGUGCAGCAUCCUGAGGCCUGACCUGCUGCAAGGCAGGGCUCGUGCAUUUCCCAGCACACAUGACCUGCAGCGCUCUUGCCCUCCCUCAUCUGUAAAGCCUCCUGGCUCUGCUGAGGGGCAUCCAGACAUCUCAGAACAGUGAGAUCACAGGGUUUUAUUAAAAUACAUACAGCCCUCUUCUCCUCCCAGAGUUUUAUUGUCUCCUCGAUGCUCAGAAGUUGUACCCAGUGAGUGCUCGUGCACUCCGUCCUUCCACCUCUGGUCUCCUGUUCUCUCUGCCACCUGCCCUGGGAGGGGAGAAUUGUGAUGGAGGCAGCUUUCCUCCUCGUUUGGCAUGCGUCGCUGCUUGUGCCAACUCAGGCAGGAAUGAACGUCGGCCUAGGGCAAACCACGAACAUU